Molecule: long non-coding RNA, 734 nt
Filed under: Vulpes vulpes (red fox)
Lineage: Eukaryota; Metazoa; Chordata; Mammalia; Carnivora; Canidae
Description: lncRNA (ENSVVUG00000001505.1)
Source: RNAcentral
UAAAUCUUAAAAAAAAAAGAAAGAAAGAAAGAAAGAAAAAAAGAAAGAAAGAAAGAAAGAAAGAAAGAAAGAAAGAAACUCUUAGCUUACAUUAUAGUUUAUAAACACUUCAUUUAGGAAACUAUUGUGGGAGUGUAAUGUUAAUUUCCCUGGUGAUAUUUAAGUAUCCCAUAUAUACUUGUUACAGUUUUCUUCCUGUAUCUCUGGUAGGGAAAAUCUGUUAAGAAUUGACCUUUCCCUUUUGUUAUUGUAUUAGUGAUGACAGAUUGUGUUCCAGGCAUGGUGCAAGAGACUGACAGAUAGAAAAACAUGCAUCUUUUUCUGAUUGAGCCAACAGGGCAAUAUGAAUAAGGAGAUUUCUAACCUUGAAAGACUCUGUGAUAUUUUGCAGCAAGGGUGGUAACCCAGAAGAUUUUCUUUCACUGCAAAACAAAGGGUCAUUCCUCUGAAGAUAUUUCACAUAUCCUGGUUUUAAAUGUUGUUUAGAAGAGGAAAAGAUUCUACAGCUUAAGCAGGAUGGCUUCAGCAUUCUGAGCUGUAUUCCUCAAGCUGUGUUGUGCUCUGGUAAAUACUCACAAAUCUUUAUUAUUGCCAUAUGUUUGGAAAGAAAGAUUGAAGAGUUAUUAGUUUCUCAUUCUCUAAAACAUUCUGUUUGUUUUUUAAACAUAAUCAGAGUUUUAUAAAGUUAACAUUGUUUUUAGGCAUUUAAAAAUAAAAAUACGCUAAUUUUGGCA